This is a long non-coding RNA of Oryzias melastigma (Indian medaka), 186 nucleotides long. RefSeq lists it as uncharacterized. The transcript is spliced from 3 exons. The record is from RefSeq and is a predicted model, not a curated record. NCBI's taxonomy places the organism in Eukaryota, Metazoa, Chordata, Actinopteri, Beloniformes, Adrianichthyidae.
GAAAAGCUCCAGACCCCGUUCAUCCAUUCCAUUCCAAUCUGACCUGACCUGUUUCUGCCUCACGACCACCCGUUCAGCCUGCUUCCCUUGUGCCUUUUCCACUACUCCAUCUUCAAGACAAGUGCUGCACCUCCUGGUGGCUGGAGGCGAUCCCUGCACUGACUCACCUGUUCCUGCUUAUCCUCC